RNAcentral lists this unclassified non-coding RNA (402 nucleotides) under soil metagenome. Its description in RNAcentral is "partial contains 5.8S ribosomal RNA, internal transcribed spacer 2, and large subunit ribosomal RNA". The stretch from base 1 to 121 matches the Rfam family "5.8S ribosomal RNA", at positions 35 to 154 of the family's 154-position model. The record is from RNAcentral.
GAUGAAGAACGUAGCGAAAUGCGAUAAGUAAUGUGAAUUGCAGAAUUCAGUGAAUCAUCGAAUCUUUGAACGCACCUUGCACCCUUUGGCUAUUCCGAAGGGUAUGCCUGUUUGAGUAUCAUGAACACCUCAACUCUCAUGGUUUGCCAUGAUGAGCUUGGACUUUGGGGGUCUUGCUGGCCUGUGGUCAGCUCCUCUCAAAUGGAUUAGCUUGCCAGUGUUUGGUGGCAUCACAGGUGUGAUAACUAUCUACGCUUGUGGUUUUCCACCAGGUAACCUUCAGCAAUGGGGGUUCGCUGGGGCUCAUAAAUGUCUCUCCCCAGUGAGGACAGCUCUUUGAACGUUUGAUCUCAAAUAAGGUAGGACUACCCGCUGAACUUAAGCAUAUCAAUAAGCGGAGGA